RNAcentral lists this ribosomal RNA (352 nucleotides) under uncultured bacterium. RNAcentral's name for it is "bacterial SSU rRNA". It matches the Rfam family "Bacterial small subunit ribosomal RNA", at positions 160 to 507 of the family's 1533-position model. The record is from RNAcentral.
ACGCUAAUACCGCAUAUUCUGUGAGCAGGAAAGCAGGGGACCGCAAGGCCUUGCGCUCUUUGAGCGGCCGAUGCCAGAUUAGCUAGUUGGUGAGGUAAAGGCUUACCAAGGCGACGAUCUGUAGCGGGUCUGAGAGGAUGAUCCGCCACACUGGAACUGAGACACGGUCCAGACUCCUACGGGAGGCAGCAGUGGGGAAUUUUGGACAAUGGGCGCAAGCCUGAUCCAGCCAUGCCGCGUGAGUGAAGAAGGCCUUCGGGUUGUAAAGCUCUUUCGGCCGGGAAGAAAUCGCAUGGGUUAAUACCCUGUGUGGAUGACGGUACCGGAAUAAGAAGCACCGGCUAACUACGUG